RNAcentral lists this ribosomal RNA (440 nucleotides) under uncultured bacterium. RNAcentral describes it as "partial 16S ribosomal RNA". It matches the Rfam family "Bacterial small subunit ribosomal RNA", at positions 338 to 795 of the family's 1533-position model. The record is from RNAcentral.
CCUACGGGUGGCAGCAGUGGGGAAUAUUGGUCAAUGGGGGAAACCCUGAAGCAGCAACGCCGCGUGGAGGAUGACGGUUUUAUGAUUUUAAACUCCUUUUUUGAUAGAAGUUAAUGACUGUAUCUCACGAAUAAUCACCGUCUAACUCCAUUCCAGCAGCCGCGGUAAGACGGAGGGUGCAAGCGUUACACGGAAUUACUGGGCGUAAAGAGGGCGUAGGCGGGUUUGUAAGUCAGAUGUGAAAUGCUGUAGCUUAACUACAAAACUGCAUUUGAAACUAUGAGUCUAGAGUGUAGGAGAGGUAGGUGGAAUUCGUGGUGUAGGGGUAAAAUGCGUAGAUAUCAAGAGGAAUACUCAUUGCGAAGGCGAUCUACUGGAACAUUACUGACGCUCAUGCACGAAAGCGUGGGGAGCAAACAGGAUUAGAUACCCCAGUAGUC